RNAcentral lists this long non-coding RNA (301 nucleotides) under Mytilus galloprovincialis (Mediterranean mussel). The record is from RNAcentral. Lineage: Eukaryota; Metazoa; Mollusca; Bivalvia; Mytilida; Mytilidae.
GUCUUUUUAAUAUUUCUAUAAUUUCCAAUUUUACAUAAUAAUGAGAACCUAUUUAUUCUACUUUGAGCAACAACAAACAUUGUACCUUCUGGCUUCUGAAAAUUGGUAUUGUCUGCAUGUACUUAGACAAAUUGAGAUUACAGCAAAACUUUGAGCAACCUUAUUGGCCUCAAAUAUAUGUUUUACAAUGUGAAACGAUUUGGGCAAUAAAUUAUGUAGCUGUAAAUAUAAAUAAAUCAUUACAGAUAACAAGAAAUUCAUUUCAAAAGAUUAUGCCAUAAAAAUAAAAACGUAAAAAUAU